Molecule: long non-coding RNA, 1097 nt
Filed under: Junco hyemalis (dark-eyed junco)
Lineage: Eukaryota; Metazoa; Chordata; Aves; Passeriformes; Passerellidae
Description: lncRNA (ENSJHYG00000006781.1)
Source: RNAcentral
AAAUUAUUAUAAUUUUAUAUGCAGGAAAUAUGUGAUGAAAUUCUGUAACUAACAACAUUGAAAAGAGUUGUACUUUUUCAAAUAGGCAUGAAUCCAUGAAGUUCUGCUUUUUAAAAACCAUAAAAUUGAAUUUAUCUGCUUUCACCCUUUUAAUUGCUGGCCCAGGUGCUUUAAAAAUAUUACUAAAAUGAAGCUGAGAUGACAUUCUUUUUCAGUGUAGGUGUGUCUUAAUAUCAGCAGCUCUUUUUUUUCCAGGUUAUUUAUUUAUAACGACAACUUUUUGGUGAUGUUCUUUUGAACAUGUAAAGGCAUUCAACUUUGAGUCUUCGUGUCUGAUUCUUGAUUUCGAGCCCUUGCUGACGAAUCGCCUGGAGCGAGCUGAAACCCAGAGCAGGCAAUGGAGACCUUUAGCAGCUCUAGGGCCAGGCGGUCGGUGUGAGCAGGGUGACAUCUGUGUGUGCUCAGAGUAAUGCUGAGAGAAGCCGAGGGCCACGGUUCUUUUGUGCAUUGCUGCCAUCUGCUGCAUUUCACCGGCAGAAGUAAAUACUCCAUCAUGCUAGGUACUUGGCCCAUAAUAGUCAAUAAAGGAGACUACCUAAAAAUAGAGAUGAUAAAUCUGGCUUUGUGAUCAAAGAAGAAUCUGAGGUAUGACACAGAUCUGGCAUUUAUGUGGGUAAUUAUCUUGCACAAAAGAUAACUUUUUUUUUUUAAUACAACAAAAAGCUGAGGCUUGGAAAAAAAAUCUUUUUAUUGAUUAGAGAUUCUUGCCUGCUUCUGUAGGAACUGGUCUCUAGAUCGUUUGCCUGGGUUAUGAGUUAUCAUACCAGAUAAAUGUUCUCUAUGGAUCUCUGAGAAAAACUUUGCUUGUUUCUCAAUAUCCUUGUUUUCUUAGACACAUUUUGAUUUUUUCCAGUAAUUUUUAGCUGGAAAAUUCCUCAGACUGUAAGAGUGCAAGAAUUCCUGACAUUGUUCUACAGAAGUUGGGAAGAUUCAGGGACCACUAUUAAUGAAAACGUCCAACUGUCCCUAGAAUGAGGUGAAUAUAUAUUUAAUUAACCUGGUUGUCCUCACAGCAGUUGAAUGUCAGGUAGCAUUUG